This 2927-nucleotide ribosomal RNA is filed under the name Escherichia coli. RNAcentral describes it as "bacterial LSU rRNA". It matches the Rfam family "Bacterial large subunit ribosomal RNA". The record is from RNAcentral. Lineage: Bacteria; Pseudomonadati; Pseudomonadota; Gammaproteobacteria; Enterobacterales; Enterobacteriaceae.
GGGUUGUGAGGUUAAGCGACUAAGCGUACACGGUGGAUGCCCUGGCAGUCAGAGGCGAUGAAGGACGUGCUAAUCUGCGAUAAGCGUCGGUAAGGUGAUAUGAACCGUUAUAACCGGCGAUUUCCGAAUGGGGAAACCCAGUGUGUUUCGACACACUAUCAUUAACUGAAUCCAUAGGUUAAUGAGGCGAACCGGGGGAACUGAAACAUCUAAGUACCCCGAGGAAAAGAAAUCAACCGAGAUUCCCCCAGUAGCGGCGAGCGAACGGGGAGCAGCCCAGAGCCUGAAUCAGUGUGUGUGUUAGUGGAAGCGUCUGGAAAGGCGCGCGAUACAGGGUGACAGCCCCGUACACAAAAAUGCACAUGCUGUGAGCUCGAUGAGUAGGGCGGGACACGUGGUAUCCUGUCUGAAUAUGGGGGGACCAUCCUCCAAGGCUAAAUACUCCUGACUGACCGAUAGUGAACCAGUACCGUGAGGGAAAGGCGAAAAGAACCCCGGCGAGGGGAGUGAAAAAGAACCUGAAACCGUGUACGUACAAGCAGUGGGAGCACGCUUCGGCGUGUGACUGCGUACCUUUUGUAUAAUGGGUCAGCGACUUAUAUUCUGUAGCAAGGUUAACCGAAUAGGGGAGCCGAAGGGAAACCGAGUCUUAACUGGGCGUUAAGUUGCAGGGUAUAGACCCGAAACCCGGUGAUCUAGCCAUGGGCAGGUUGAAGGUUGGGUAACACUAACUGGAGGACCGAACCGACUAAUGUUGAAAAAUUAGCGGAUGACUUGUGGCUGGGGGUGAAAGGCCAAUCAAACCGGGAGAUAGCUGGUUCUCCCCGAAAGCUAUUUAGGUAGCGCCUCGUGAAUUCAUCUCCGGGGGUAGAGCACUGUUUCGGCAAGGGGGUCAUCCCGACUUACCAACCCGAUGCAAACUGCGAAUACCGGAGAAUGUUAUCACGGGAGACACACGGCGGGUGCUAACGUCCGUCGUGAAGAGGGAAACAACCCAGACCGCCAGCUAAGGUCCCAAAGUCAUGGUUAAGUGGGAAACGAUGUGGGAAGGCCCAGACAGCCAGGAUGUUGGCUUAGAAGCAGCCAUCAUUUAAAGAAAGCGUAAUAGCUCACUGGUCGAGUCGGCCUGCGCGGAAGAUGUAACGGGGCUAAACCAUGCACCGAAGCUGCGGCAGCGACGCUUAUGCGUUGUUGGGUAGGGGAGCGUUCUGUAAGCCUGUGAAGGUGUGCUGUGAGGCAUGCUGGAGGUAUCAGAAGUGCGAAUGCUGACAUAAGUAACGAUAAAGCGGGUGAAAAGCCCGCUCGCCGGAAGACCAAGGGUUCCUGUCCAACGUUAAUCGGGGCAGGGUGAGUCGACCCCUAAGGCGAGGCCGAAAGGCGUAGUCGAUGGGAAACAGGUUAAUAUUCCUGUACUUGGUGUUACUGCGAAGGGGGGACGGAGAAGGCUAUGUUGGCCGGGCGACGGUUGUCCCGGUUUAAGCGUGUAGGCUGGUUUUCCAGGCAAAUCCGGAAAAUCAAGGCUGAGGCGUGAUGACGAGGCACUACGGUGCUGAAGCAACAAAUGCCCUGCUUCCAGGAAAAGCCUCUAAGCAUCAGGUAACAUCAAAUCGUACCCCAAACCGACACAGGUGGUCAGGUAGAGAAUACCAAGGCGCUUGAGAGAACUCGGGUGAAGGAACUAGGCAAAAUGGUGCCGUAACUUCGGGAGAAGGCACGCUGAUAUGUAGGUGAGGUCCCUCGCGGAUGGAGCUGAAAUCAGUCGAAGAUACCAGCUGGCUGCAACUGUUUAUUAAAAACACAGCACUGUGCAAACACGAAAGUGGACGUAUACGGUGUGACGCCUGCCCGGUGCCGGAAGGUUAAUUGAUGGGGUUAGCGGUAACGCGAAGCUCUUGAUCGAAGCCCCGGUAAACGGCGGCCGUAACUAUAACGGUCCUAAGGUAGCGAAAUUCCUUGUCGGGUAAGUUCCGACCUGCACGAAUGGCGUAAUGAUGGCCAGGCUGUCUCCACCCGAGACUCAGUGAAAUUGAACUCGCUGUGAAGAUGCAGUGUACCCGCGGCAAGACGGAAAGACCCCGUGAACCUUUACUAUAGCUUGACACUGAACAUUGAGCCUUGAUGUGUAGGAUAGGUGGGAGGCUUUGAAGUGUGGACGCCAGUCUGCAUGGAGCCGACCUUGAAAUACCACCCUUUAAUGUUUGAUGUUCUAACGUUGACCCGUAAUCCGGGUUGCGGACAGUGUCUGGUGGGUAGUUUGACUGGGGCGGUCUCCUCCUAAAGAGUAACGGAGGAGCACGAAGGUUGGCUAAUCCUGGUCGGACAUCAGGAGGUUAGUGCAAUGGCAUAAGCCAGCUUGACUGCGAGCGUGACGGCGCGAGCAGGUGCGAAAGCAGGUCAUAGUGAUCCGGUGGUUCUGAAUGGAAGGGCCAUCGCUCAACGGAUAAAAGGUACUCCGGGGAUAACAGGCUGAUACCGCCCAAGAGUUCAUAUCGACGGCGGUGUUUGGCACCUCGAUGUCGGCUCAUCACAUCCUGGGGCUGAAGUAGGUCCCAAGGGUAUGGCUGUUCGCCAUUUAAAGUGGUACGCGAGCUGGGUUUAGAACGUCGUGAGACAGUUCGGUCCCUAUCUGCCGUGGGCGCUGGAGAACUGAGGGGGGCUGCUCCUAGUACGAGAGGACCGGAGUGGACGCAUCACUGGUGUUCGGGUUGUCAUGCCAAUGGCACUGCCCGGUAGCUAAAUGCGGAAGAGAUAAGUGCUGAAAGCAUCUAAGCACGAAACUUGCCCCGAGAUGAGUUCUCCCUGACUCCUUGAGAGUCCUGAAGGAACGUUGAAGACGACGACGUUGAUAGGCCGGGUGUGUAAGCGCAGCGAUGCGUUGAGCUAACCGGUACUAAUGAACCGUGAGGCUUAACCUUACAACGCCGAAG